This 467-nucleotide ribosomal RNA is filed under the name uncultured bacterium. RNAcentral describes it as "partial 16S ribosomal RNA". It matches the Rfam family "Bacterial small subunit ribosomal RNA", at positions 328 to 794 of the family's 1533-position model. The record is from RNAcentral.
GUCCCAGACUCCUACGGGAGGCAGCAGUGAGGAAUAUUGGUCAAUGGCCGUAAGGCUGAACCAGCCAAGUCGCGUGAAGGAAGAAGGAUCUAUGGUUUGUAAACUUCUUUUAUAGGGGAAUAAAGGUAUCCACGUGUGGAUAUUUGCAUGUACCCUAUGAAUAAGCAUCGGCUAACUCCGUGCCAGCAGCCGCGGUAAUACGGAGGAUGCGAGCGUUAUCCGGAUUUAUUGGGUUUAAAGGGUGCGUAGGCGGUUUUUUAAGUUAGUGGUUAAACGUCGGGGCUUCACCUUGAUUUGCCAUUAAUACUGUAAGACUCGAGUUCAGACGAGGUAGGCGGAAUAAGUUAAGUAGCGGUGAAAUGCUUAGAUAUAACUUAGAACUCCGAUAGCGAAGGCAGCUUACCAGACUGCGACUGACGCUGAAGCACGAGAGCGUGGGUAGCGAACAGGAUUAGAUACCCGAGAGA